Molecule: ribosomal RNA, 717 nt
Filed under: Salmonella enterica subsp. enterica serovar Dublin
Lineage: Bacteria; Pseudomonadati; Pseudomonadota; Gammaproteobacteria; Enterobacterales; Enterobacteriaceae
Description: partial 23S ribosomal RNA
Rfam family: Bacterial large subunit ribosomal RNA
Source: RNAcentral
UCCUGACUGACCGAUAGUGAACCAGUACCGUGAGGGAAAGGCGAAAAGAACCCCGGCGAGGGGAGUGAAAAAGAACCUGAAACCGUGUACGUACAAGCAGUGGGAGCACAGGUUUACCUGUGUGACUGCGUACCUUUUGUAUAAUGGGUCAGCGACUUAUAUUCUGUAGCAAGGUUAACCGAAUAGGGGAGCCGGAGGGAAACCGAGUCUUAAUUGGGCGUUAAGUUGCAGGGUAUAGACCCGAAACCCGGUGAUCUAGCCAUGGGCAGGUUGAAGGUUGGGUAACACUAACUGGAGGACCGAACCGACUAAUGUUGAAAAAUUAGCGGAUGACCUGUGGCUGGGGGUGAAAGGCCAAUCAAACCGGGAGAUAGCUGGUUCUCCCCGAAAGCUAUUUAGGUAGCGCCUCGUGAAUUCAUCUCCGGGGGUAGAGCACUGUUUCGGCUAGGGGGCCAUCCCGGCUUACCAACCCGAUGCAAACUGCGAAUACCGGAGAAUGUUAUCACGGGAGACACACGGCGGGUGCUAACGUCCGUCGUGAAGAGGGAAACAACCCAGACCGCCAGCUAAGGUCCCAAAGUCAUGGUUAAGUGGGAAACGAUGUGGGAAGGCCCAGACAGCCAGGAUGUUGGCUUAGAAGCAGCCAUCAUUUAAAGAAAGCGUAAUAGCUCACUGGUCGAGUCGGCCUGCGCGGAAGAUGUAACGGGGCUAAACCAU